Non-coding RNA from Oncorhynchus mykiss (rainbow trout), 198 nucleotides. The record is from RefSeq and is a predicted model, not a curated record. Lineage: Eukaryota; Metazoa; Chordata; Actinopteri; Salmoniformes; Salmonidae.
CAAAAACACUCCCCUUUCAUCUGUUCUGGAACCUUCCAUACCAGCAGAUGAAGAGUGAUAGGAACGCGUCACAUUUUGUUUCUUGUAAAACAUUGACAGUAAGUUGACUAACUGUUCAAGACCUCUCCUCUUCACUUCACUCUACUGCAGGGUGGGAGAUGCAACAAUGGCCUUGAGAACAGCAGGAAGUGUGUUGGU